This is a long non-coding RNA of Phragmites australis (common reed), 3290 nucleotides long. RefSeq lists it as uncharacterized. The transcript is spliced from 6 exons. The record is from RefSeq and is a predicted model, not a curated record. Lineage: Eukaryota; Viridiplantae; Streptophyta; Magnoliopsida; Poales; Poaceae.
CCGACCUCGCCAGCGACUUCGUCCAUGUCUGUCCCCCGCCCUCGUCACUGUCUUCGUCUGUCGCCUGCCCGUCGUCCCCGUUCUCGCCAAUGUCUUCGUCCGUCGCCUGUCAGCCGUCCCCGCCCUCGCCACCACCUUCAGCCCUGUGCGUUGCCCCCGCUAUCGUCACCACCACCUCUGUCCGCUGCCGCCACCACCUUCCGCUCUGCCUGCUGUCCCCGCCGUCGGCAGUGCCACAAUCGAUGUGCGCGAACCCUAACCCCCAUCUGGAUCUAGGAGCUACCGCCAGGUCAGUCUAAACGACGGUAACAAUCUCUACCCUAGAUCUCCAUGUAGCAAAAAAAUUCAGAUUUGUUGGUGGGUUAAAGAUGCGAAGGACUUGGUGGCGGAGAGCGGCGGAGACAACGCCGAUUUCAAGAGGUGGCCGCGUUGCAGCGCCGGAUGCGGAUAGCACCCUCCUCUGAAGUUCUAAGCAUAUCAUAUAUACUUUUUGUGACAUGAAAGCAUGCUCAUCCAAGCAUUUGGUCGUUCCACCUUCCACGUUGGCCCCAUUAACUAAGCUUGCUUAGCAUAGUGUUUGUUAUGUCAUGAUUGUGAUAGAAAAAUGCUCGCAACACUUCUAAUCAUUGUUGUUUUCUCUAUGGUAGGCAACUUGGUACAAAGAAGAAGAGGAAGUCCUGCCAGUUGUAUAUCUACUUUCAUUUAGAAAAGCAAGUAAAUUUGGACUCGAAAGUUCUAAGCCUAUACCUGUAUAUCUUGUUAUGACAUGAAAGCAUGUCGGUUUAAGCAUUUGGACGUUCCACAUUGUCCUGGUGAGCUAAGGUCCAAUGAUUAUUAUAUACCAGGAUUGUGAUAGGAGAAAAAUGCUUGCUGUACUUCUAAUCAUUGACUUAAAAUCUUCAAUUUGACUGCACAAAAUUUGAUCUAUUCCUAUGUUCUCUUCAUUCAUUGUAUUUUUUAUGUAUAUUUCGUUUGAAUCCCCUCAGCUUUGUUUACAACAUGCUAUGUUCUCAUGCUCCAAUUGGUGUGUACAGGGUCUUUAUGAGUUGUCAGAUUUGAGCUGUUUUCCGUUUUCAUGCAGAUCUACGCAUGGAUUGGAUGCAAUGCAGCAAAGUUUGGUUAUUUAUAUGCUGCUGCAACCACUCAGCCAGUAACUAGUAGUUGUUUGGUUAUUUCCUUAGUCAUUUUUUCCAUGUUGCCUCGCCAUGGUCCUUGCAGGGUACCAUAGUGAACAUCACCUCUGUACUAGGAGGAAUAUCUGAUAGCAUCGGGUCGAGCAUGGCCCGGUCUCCAGGGUGGACACGCUCGCCGGCAUCGCUAACAAGUACGACGUCGAGGUAUGUGCUGUCAAAGCUCCUGAAUUUGGUGAUAACAUAAGGGUUAAUCUGUAUGAUAUGGCUGUGUUGACGGGAGGAGAGGUUUCCUAUUAUCGACCAAUAACCAAUAACUAUAGAGUUUCUUAACACGGAUUAAAUUGCUAUGACUGAAAUUAACUUUUAUAUUUUCAAGGUUGUUAGCGAGGAUUCUUUUCUUAGACGAUGAUGUUGUGACACUAGAGAAAUGCAGAAUACGCCAUUUGAAAGACAAUGGCUACAAAAUCUUAGUGGUAUAUCAGCUGAUUUUUUUUUUCUCUUCAUGAGAUAACCCUCGGUGACCCCAACAUGGCCACAUUCAUCCCUGUCGCCUCUGGUCCCAUCUCUAGCUAGGCUGCUUGAGAUUGGAGGUUGAUUCUUCUCAAGCGCAAAGUAUACAUUCUCUCAAAAGAAAUCCCAAGCAAGAGUUUGUGGUGCUGUUGGGGGUGUUAGCAGCUAAGAAAGUACGAGAAGGAAUGAGAGCAUAAACACGAAUGAAGUAGCACUACAGUCAUUGAGUUUGCCUAAGUUAGCAACAUCAGUUGUUAGCUUGUUCUUCAAAAGGCAAUGUAACAAUAUACGGGUGGUAGGUCGCAAGAACAAGAGUGCUGUUAGUGAGGAUGAAGAAACUGAAUAUGAUCAAGGCAUUUUUUGGACCAAAUUACCCAAGUUUUGGUUUGCAUCGUCAUGUUCCUAUGGGUUAUGGCCACUGCUAGCUCCUGUUUACAAAGCAUUUAUAAGGUUUGAUCAACAAUUUCUCAAUACCUAAUAGGAAGCUGAAUUUGAUCUCACGACAACCAUCAAAGGAGCUGGGUACUAUCACGACAGGUUCCAUUGCAGCUGAGAGGGACAUUAUUGAUGGCAUGGGUAUUAAUAGCAUCGAAGGUGUGUAUAGAAGAUGUGAGAGAACUGUUUCUGUCAUGAGACAUAACUGUUUCUGUCAUGAGACAAAACUCAUUCUGUCAUUAUUAUCGAAAUUUUCAUCUAUGAUCAUCCAUACAAAUGGUCCCUCUCACAACUGAAAGCUUUACAACGUCAAAAGGUAACUAAAACUUAAGUAAAUUUCCAGAAUGCUGUUGGACUUGCUCCUACAGCACUCUAGUUGUCCAGCACAGUUCAUAUAGCUGGAAGUUACUGGUAUGAUCAGUAGCAGCCGGUAUUAGGGAUGUGUAUAUUUAAUUUUAUCAAACAUAACACAUCGCACUAAAUUCCCUGGCUUAUAUCUAGAUGUCUUUAUCAAGAUGAGAUCACCCAAAGGCUAAGAAAAAUGCAAAGACCUGAUGAAGAAAGGUAAAAUGGAAGGAAAGACAUAAUUACAUGGCAACAAUUUCUUAUGUUGGUUUUUUAUCAUGCUGUUUAACAAUUAGAUACACCCAGAUAUCCUAUCCAUGUUUAAACAUAAGCCCCAAGUAUUUCCUACUUCAAAACAUAUCGAGUUCUCCUGCAGCAACCUGUUAAACUAAGCUAUAUUUUUCUUCAGGGAACAGAUGAUACUGAUUCAUAUCUGAAUGACUCCCAAAAGGCUAAUGAGGGCAAUAAAGAUGCAACUAUGCUAUACUCCGUGUUAAAUAGAAAUUUGACGAAUAUGAAGGCCCCAUACUUUUUUAAUCCCCAAUUCCUCCUAGCCCCCAAUCCGAUUGGAAAUUGAUGGGCAAGCAACUGGAUCCCUCGAAUCACCACCAGUUUAAAGUGCACCAUACAGAGUUGCUUCAAUCCAAAUGCUAAAUCCGUGUGGAAGAUUAAACUAACCAUAAUUACUAUUUUGCAGGCUAAAUAUCCACUAGGUUCUACACAAUAUAAUCGAAUGACAAGCUAGCUAUGUAUAAUGUUAACUUAGUAUGCAAGUACUGCAUGUAGGCUUCAUGUAAUAUAAUUAAGUUCCGUAGUAUCUGAAUUGCUACAUUUACAAGUUAUGUAACUUAACUAAUAUCCCCAUUA